This is a long non-coding RNA of Gossypium arboreum, 215 nucleotides long. RefSeq lists it as uncharacterized. Lineage: Eukaryota; Viridiplantae; Streptophyta; Magnoliopsida; Malvales; Malvaceae. The transcript is spliced from 3 exons. The record is from RefSeq and is a predicted model, not a curated record.
UGGGCUUGGAGCUGUGAGGGAAUUCGGAGUGGCCACCCGUUCUGAAAGUUUGAUUUUCUUCUGGGAGUUUUUGGGCUAUGCAGGGGCGGUGUUGCAACACAUGCUUGCAGUUUUGGAACAUUAGGUCCGGUGUCACGACAUCAAAGUUAUUAAAGCUGAAGGAGAAGGUAUAAACAUCAAAGGAAAGUUUAACUGGAUAGAGGAGCAUUCAACUU